RNAcentral lists this ribosomal RNA (407 nucleotides) under uncultured bacterium. RNAcentral's name for it is "partial 16S ribosomal RNA". It matches the Rfam family "Bacterial small subunit ribosomal RNA", at positions 29 to 526 of the family's 1533-position model. The record is from RNAcentral.
AUUGAACGCUGGCGGCAGGCCUAACACAUGCAAGUCGAGCGGAGCGGCGGACGGAUGAGUAAUGCCUAGGAAUCUGCCUGGUAGUGGGGGAUAACGUCCGGAAACGGGCGCUAAUACCGCAUACUAUCAGAUGAGCCUAGGUCGGAUUAGCUAGUUGGUAGGGGAAAGGCCUACCAAGGCGACGAUCCUUAACUGGUCUGAGAGGAUGAUCAGUCAAAGUGGAACUGUGAUCAGGUCCAGACUCCGACGGGCGGCAGCAGUGGGGAAUAUUGGACAAUGGGCGAAAGCCUGAACCAGCCGUGCCGCGUGUGUGAAGAAGGUCUUCGGAUUGGAAAGCACUGUAAGUGGGGAGGCGUUAGCAACAGAAUAAGCACAGGCUAACUGCGUGCGAGCAGCCGCGGUAAGAG